Molecule: long non-coding RNA, 96 nt
Organism: Myotis davidii
Lineage: Eukaryota; Metazoa; Chordata; Mammalia; Chiroptera; Vespertilionidae
Exons: 3
Source: RefSeq, a predicted model, not a curated record
AGAGAAAAGAAAGAAGUAGAUGCAAGGGUGAUUUCUUUUCCGGGUUCUUGCCCAGAUGGAUUCGAAGGAUAAAGCCAUGGACAAAAGGUGGUAGAU